UUGAGCGAUUUACUUCGGUAAAGAGCGGCGGACGGGUGAGUAACGCGUGGGUAACCUACCCUGUACACACGGAUAACAUACCGAAAGGUAUGCUAAUACGGGAUAACAUAUUUGAGAGGCAUCUCUUAAAUAUCAAAGGUGAGCCAGUACAGGAUGGACCCGCGUCUGAUUAGCUAGUUGGUAAGGUAACGGCUUACCAAGGCGACGAUCAGUAGCCGACCUGAGAGGGUGAUCGGCCACA
RNAcentral lists this ribosomal RNA (241 nucleotides) under Clostridioides sp. ZZV14-6045. RNAcentral describes it as "partial 16S ribosomal RNA". It matches the Rfam family "Bacterial small subunit ribosomal RNA", at positions 62 to 312 of the family's 1533-position model. The record is from RNAcentral. Lineage: Bacteria; Bacillati; Bacillota; Clostridia; Peptostreptococcales; Peptostreptococcaceae.